AAAUUAAUUGCAAUUAACUCAGAAGUGUAUCUGAGAGUAUGCCUUUAAAAAUGAUUUAAGGGCUCUAAAGAUAGUGGAGGCUGAUCAAUUAUUAUAACGGUGUUGUUAUGUACACCUGCUUUCUACUGAAGGUUUCUAUGAUGCUCAGCUCAGAGGCUGGAGGUCUGAGGCAAUAGAACAAAUCAAAAUGAAGUAUUAUAAGUAUUUAUGCAAAGUUUGUUUUGCAUGAUCUCAAAUGCAUUGGCCAUAUUUCCUUUAUCCAAUGUGUCACCUUUCUGACUUCGCCCAGUUUAAGUGCUCUCCUCUCUACAUUUUCAUCUCUCUCUUCUACUUGUUGCUGGUCAUCAGUGGCUCUAUGACCAUGUCAUUAAGUUUUAUGGGGUGUCUGGGUUCCCUGAAGACUGUCAAAUGCCUGCUGGCAGUUGUGAGUUGUCAGUGAAACAAAACUUUAUUGGAUUUUAUACGUGCUAGUUGUUUUGCACCAGCGUUAUUAUGAGGCUAUUAUUAUAUUAUAUAUAUUUUUUUUAAAUGUUAUGCAUUGGAGGCCAAAACUUUGGAAUACUGUACAGAUUUUGCUGUUUAGGAAGGAAAUUGAUACUUUAGUGGCUUUCAACUUAUCACAAAGUAUAGUCAGGACAUUGCUGAUGUAAAAAACAGCACCAUCACUAUUUGAAAAAAGUAUACCUGCUCAACACCAGUUUCAUGUACAACAGUAAAGAGGGUGCAGGCCUUAUGGAAAGAAUUGCAAAGAAAAAGCCACUUUUGAAACAGAAAAUCAAAAAGAAAAGGUUAGAGUGGGCAAAGAAACAGACAUUGGACAACAGAUAAUUGGAAAAGAGUGUUAUGGAUCUUAACCCCAUUGAGCUUUUGUGGGAUCAGCUAGACUGUAAGGUGCGUGAGAAGUGCCAACAAGACAGCCACAUCUAUGGCAAGUGUUACAGGAAGUGUGGGGUGAAAUGUCACCUGAGUAUCUGGACAAACUGACUCACGUUAUUAAUGUCCUGAUUAUACAUUGCGAUCAGUUGAAUUCCACUUUGGUAAAUAAAAGUACCAAUUUCUUUCCAUAAGAGCAAAAUAUGUACAUUAUUCCAAACUUUUGGCUGCCAGUGUAUAAAUAAUUUAGAGUUUUAUAUAAUUUAAUUUAAUUUAGUUUUCAUUUUACUGUUAGUUUUGUUUUUUCAGUGUUUUCUAUUUUGAGAUAAUUUAAAAUGUUACAUUAUAUGCAUUUGUAAUUCAGUUAUACAUUAAUGAUGAUGUCAUUUAAAGGAAUAAUCCAUGUUCAGUAUAAAUUAACCUCAAUCAAUAGCAUUUGUGACUAAAUCCUGAUUACCACAAAAAAAUAUUUCGACUUGUCCUUCCUUUUAUUAAAAAAAAUAAAUAAAUAAAAACUCAGGUUACAGUGAGGCACUUACAAUGGAAGUGAAUGGGGCCAGUUUUUGCAGGGUUCUAAGGCAGAAAUGUGAAGCCUCUAAUUUUAUAAAAACUUACAUUAUUUAUGUUAAAACAUGUUUUAUUUGAGCUGUAAAGUUGUUUAAAUAAACAUUUUAAGGUAUUUUGGGGGGUUUUAAAGUUUACUGCCUUACAUCAUUAUGGAAACAAAGUUGUAAAAUUAGAUAUAACUUAGCAAAGAAAAGGUUAGAAAGUUAUUUUAUCAUACUAAAACCAUGUUAACACACAUUGUUUAUGUCUUGUUAUCAACACUGUGCCUCAAAUGCUUUCAUUUGACCUAAACGGAAUAUUCCUUUAAAUAUGUUUAACGCCAUUAAAUUUCUAUCUAUCUAGUACUAUAUCAUGAAGACAGGUUGUACAUGUAUCAAAUAUAACAUAUAACAAAUUGUAAUAUUAAUUUGUGGUUAUUUAUUUGAUUUUAGUUUUGAAGUCAUGAAAAUGUAUUUUAGUUCAGUUUCAGAUUCAGUUUAUGUUCGUUUCAGAUAACAAAUAUUAUUUUCAUAUAGUUUUUCUUUUAGAUUUCAUUAAUGAUAAUAAACCCUAAAAACUCCCAAAAUAUUAUGAGUUUGUUUGCAGUUACUAAUACCUCUUGGGAUUUCAUGUUCUUGCUACAGGAACAGCUACACCCAUAUUAUUUAUGAGGCAACAGUGAGUUCAUCUGCUCCAGUGAGCUGUAAAAUGAUGUUAAAAUUAACUUUGUGUAUAUCUGCAGCAUGGGAUUAUGGUUUUUGCGGCUCAGAUAGUGGGUGGGGUUCAUCUCUACACACAGAAGACUGAGGUAACUCAAGCAUAUUGAUCAGAGCUCACACCCAGCUUUGGUGUUGGCCUUUUAGUAAACAUCCAUCAUAUGACUAUAGAUCUUCAUUAAUCCUCUCUAAUGGCAAGCAGUUGCUUUAAUAGCUUUCAGUUGGUAAACUGUCAUAUGGCUAUGAAGCCAACCAGAUUACAUGUAAACAUGAGCACAAUAUAUUUGACUUGUUUUGUUCAUUCCUUUUAAUCAGUUGGAUGGUUCAAUAAGGCAGCAUUCUCUUGAACUAAUAAGUCAUUUGGAAGGAAUUAUUCCAGUCUUCAGAGUUUUGAGCAGACUCUUGAGUACAUUCAGUGGGAGAUGAGAGACAUGGCAUAGUACACAGCAGUACAUGUUAAAAUAAGUGUGUAAAUUUUUAUAUGAUGCAACCUUGAAAGCUGUUUCUUUAACUAUUUGCUCACAUCCAGCAUUAUAUUUCUGCAGAAGAAAUGCUGUGGCUGGGAUGGUAAAGAAGACUGGGGACCUAUUACCCUACUCUUGCUACUAUAAAGUCAAUGCCACUGUAAAUGCAACAUCUGAAGACCAGGCUUCAGAGAUAUGCCCCACAUCUUUCAAACCACACAUGCAGCAUUUAUAAGCAGGAACAGCUUCAUGGACACUGUGUCCGGCCUGCAAUUUGUAAAUGGUGUUUCAAAAUAACUUGUAAACUUUGACCUCUUCUUUCUCUAACAAAGUGAUGCAGUGAGGGAAUACAAAAAUGGCUGGAUGAAAAACUUUUCAAAAUGUCCCAUUUUGGUGGACAUUUUGGCCAUUGCUGUGAAGGUAAGAAAGCAAGGUUGUCACUAAACACAUUAGACCCCAUUUGCGAUAUCUUAAAUGACUUAAAUAUUGAUCUGUUUCUCAUGUUUCUGUGACUAGAAAUGUCCUUGGGUUUAUAGGGUUUGAUUUAGCCAUUGGGUAAGAAACUGGGUGCAUCAGGGUGGGACAGUGUUAUGUUUCACCAUUGUUGUUCACACAAAGCAUAUGACCUUUGUGAUAUUGUGGCAAAGAGUGAGAUGGUGCUCUUAUAACCAUGUCUGUAAAAUAUCUUAAAAAUAUAAAUUUAUCUUAAACAUAUGAUUUUUGCUUAAAGUGACUGGCUAAAAUGUAGUAAUUGGCUAAACCAUAUCAUUUGCAUAUACUGGUAUUUCAAAGUGGUUCGAAAAGCAGACAGUCCAUAUCAAAUACUAAAACAGAAAAAACCUACAAUGUUAUGCAUACAAUUGUAUUAUUCUGUUCGUACUGGAAAUAAAAAGAAAUGAUAUUUUAAUGUUUUUUUUUUUUAUGACAGUAUAUUUAUAUAAACCAAGGAUUGAACGUUUUGGGGAUUAUCACAGAGGAUACGUGAUAUACCUGAGCAAGUUUUUUAUUGUCAGGGCAGGGAGGAGGACACUUGUUAUCAGGUGUUGUGUAUAAAUAUGACCUGUUGAUCUCCUAGAUUCAUUUUAGGAUAACACUACAGUCUAAGAAGGUAAGAGAGAUGUUAUCAUGUCAGACCAUUUGUUAUGCUGUAAUUGGAUUUCUAGAUAAUAACUUACAUUAAUAAUCUAGAUAUAACUGUAAUAAGUUAGAUAAUAACUCAUAAAUAAAUCUAUCUAUAUAUCUAAACUUUUAUAUUCACUGUAAUGCCACUUUGGUUUUCAGUCUGCAUUUAAUGACUUGCUGUUAUUCAUUUCUAUAAGCUUGAUAUAAAACUAAAAGAUGGGAUCCCGCACAUUGGUUCUGGUUGUGUUUUUAGGUGUGCUCUGUGGUGAGUGGAAGACAAUUUCCUCUUUUAAUAAAAUAAGUUAUCUGCAAUACUAUAACAGUAAACUAGCUACGCUUUUUAUAGAAAAUAUAAAGUAUCUUGGUCUGAAUCAUAGCAGAAAAUACAGACAAUCACUAUAUCUUUAAGCUCAGAAGCCUUUAAUAUAAGUUUUCUAUGUUUCUCUUUAAAUUUGCCAAUCUAUAUUACAACAGAAAGUACAGCUUUUUGAAAUUGUGCAUGUCGGCGCUCUCUAGUUGUGCAGGCACUGAAGUGUAACUACUGCCAGAAGAUUGACAAAGAUAACCCCACCUGUGGCCAACUAGAGGAGAGAGAAUGCAGCUCUGGCCUCAAUAACUGCAUUAAGAUCACAAUGCACAAGCCAGCCUAUGGUGAGGUGCGCAGAUGUGCCAGUGAUAAGGAGUGCGACACUGUGUUGCCUGAACAGGUGGAGAAACACUGCUGCAGCACAGACCUCUGCAACUAAUCUGCUCCAUCAGCCACAUUUAUUUAACUCACAAAAUAUUUGGUAAUUAAUAAAUGCUCAAAACAUACCAUUAUCCAAAUGUUUUAUUAUAUGUAAUAUUAAGAGAGAGAGAGAGAUUAUGAAGAAAUAAAGUCUGACCAGCAAAAGAAAGUUGUAUAAAUGGUACUUUGUAGUAUAUAAAACAUUUUAAUCAUCAAUAUAUCCAUACAGUAUGAAGACAUAAUGUCAUUUUCACUACACCGAGGUUUGAAAAGAACAACAGUUGAACACUGCAAUAACACAGCAUUGUCAGCUUUCACACAAAGUGAUAUGGACACACACAAAACAACUUGCCCACACAAAAAUGCCAGACUCAAAAACACCAUGAAUACAUAGUCAAAAAUAGGAUUAAUUACUUCUCUCAUCUACUUAACACAUCAAACACAUUUUUGUUCAUGGUUUAUUGCAAAGUAAAAUUCCAAAUGACACAGAAUCAUUUUAAUAAAAAAAUAAAAAAUAAUUCAGACAUCAUUAUAGCACUGUCAAAGUGUGUAUUAAUACAGGCUUUGAUGCAGAUGGUUAUGGUGCCAUUACAGUGGAAGUCUUCAU
Long non-coding RNA from Xyrauchen texanus (razorback sucker), 5055 nucleotides. RefSeq lists it as uncharacterized. NCBI's taxonomy places the organism in Eukaryota, Metazoa, Chordata, Actinopteri, Cypriniformes, Catostomidae. The transcript is spliced from 3 exons. The record is from RefSeq and is a predicted model, not a curated record.